GCUCUCUUGGCGAAAUUGGUAAACGCGCCAUCUUGAGGGGGUGGUGGGCAUAUGUCCUUAUGGGUUCAAGUCCCAUAGAGAGUACCA
Molecule: transfer RNA, 87 nt
Filed under: Sphingomonas sp.
Lineage: Bacteria; Pseudomonadati; Pseudomonadota; Alphaproteobacteria; Sphingomonadales; Sphingomonadaceae
Description: tRNA-Leu
Rfam family: tRNA
About the family: Transfer RNA (tRNA) molecules are approximately 80 nucleotides in length.
Source: RNAcentral